This 554-nucleotide ribosomal RNA is filed under the name Calineuria californica. RNAcentral's name for it is "partial 16S ribosomal RNA". It matches the Rfam family "Bacterial large subunit ribosomal RNA", at positions 1796 to 2622 of the family's 2925-position model. The record is from RNAcentral. Lineage: Eukaryota; Metazoa; Arthropoda; Insecta; Plecoptera; Perlidae.
UCGCCUGUUUAUCAAAAACAUGUCCUCUUGUUAAGAAUUAGAGGUCUAGCCUGCCCACUGAUUUAUUGAAGGGCCGCGGUAUUUUGACCGUGCAAAGGUAGCAUAAUCAUUAGUCUUUUAAUUGAAGGCUAGUAUGAAUGGUUGGACGAGGUGCUGACUGUCUCACAGCAGAUGUUGGCAGAAUUUAACAUUUAAGUCAAAAGGCUUAAAUAGAUUUAAAGGACGAGAAGACCCUAUAGAGCUUUAUAUUGCAAUUUUAUUAAUUAUUUGGGUGUAUAGUUUUAAUAUAUUUUUUAGUAUUUUAUUGGGGUGAUAGGAAGAUAAAAUAAACUCUUUUUAGUGUAUGCCAUUGAUUUAUGUUUUUUUGAUCCAUUAUUAGUGAUUAUAAGACUAAGUUACCUUAGGGAUAACAGCGUAAUCUUUUUUGAGAGUUCUUAUCGACAAAAAGGGUUGCGACCUCGAUGUUGGAUUAAGGUAAAUUUUGGGUGUAGAUGUUCAAAUUUUAGGUCUGUUCGACCUUUAAAUCCUUACAUGAUCUGAGUUCAAACCGGAGA